Molecule: ribosomal RNA, 253 nt
Filed under: uncultured bacterium
Lineage: Bacteria
Description: partial 16S ribosomal RNA
Rfam family: Bacterial small subunit ribosomal RNA
Source: RNAcentral
UACGUAGGGGGCAAGCGUUGUUCGGAAUUAUUGGGCGUAAAGCGCUCGUAGGCGGGACAGGAAGUUCGUGUUGAAAGACCUCGGCUCAACUGAGGGACCGGCUCGAAUACUCUUGUUCUUGAGGCAAUCAGAGGGUGAUGGAAUUCCCGGUGUAGCGGUGAAAUGCGUAGAUAUCGGGAAGAACACCCGUGGCGAAGGCGGCUCUCUGGGACGGUACUGACGCUGAGACGCGAAAGCGUGGGGAGCGAACAGG